Long non-coding RNA from Xenopus tropicalis (tropical clawed frog), 1009 nucleotides. RefSeq lists it as uncharacterized. The record is from RefSeq and is a predicted model, not a curated record. The transcript is spliced from 2 exons. Lineage: Eukaryota; Metazoa; Chordata; Amphibia; Anura; Pipidae.
CCUCCCUUCAGCGGCGCCAUUGGCUCUGCUCCCCGCUUUCUCCCACACUGCGCGGCGCGUCAUUGAACGGAGCCCAAGAUGGCGGCGCUCGGUGCGAGCGAAGUGAUUGGCCGGCUGGAGAGCGCUGCCAAAGUUGUAAUGGGGCAAGCAGGAGAGUGAGCUAUGGAGUUCCAUGGACAACAAACGAGGCACAAAGAAGGUCCAGCCAAUGGCAGCCGGGAUCCCAAGCCAAUCAGUCGAAGCAGCUCAUUGUUUCUGAAUCUGAGGUCGCCCCUACCCCGAUGCUCACAUGGUUGAGAGUAUGACGUUACUCUGUAAUGGCUGUGGGAAUGGCACAAUAGCUAAUUCUCAAGCUAUAGAUAAUGGCGACACAAAACUUUAGCUGAUGGCACCGGCCAUGGUGGCGAAUCCAGCACCAACAACAAGAUCUGCAGGACGAUAAAGCUUGUCUACUUUUUUCAACACCUUUAAACAACGGACCAACCUGAAUAAUGACGUCCCCGUUCCAUGAUGGCUGUGGGCAACUCGUCAGCCUUGGAAUCCAGCGUGCCUAUGGAUCUGCCCAUAUUAAUUAACCCAGUACAGACAAAACCUAUACAUCGCAGAGCCCCCUCAGGCCCUUGUCAUGAGUUGGCCAGGAGCCCAGUAACUGUGAAAUCAUAGUGAGAGACUUAUAAGGCAGUCAGGUUAUUUACAAGAGGUUAUUUAACAGACAUAAAGUGCAAGAGCAAGAAAAGAGGGGGAGUAGGUGCACAUCUCUGGCCCCUGAGGAAUCCCAUAGAAGUAGGCCCAACAGUCGCUUGCAUGAUGAUCCUGGGGGCAUACCUGGAUAACAGUUGACAAAAUAAGUAAAAUACUGACAAAAGAGGGUCACAUAGCAAUUCUACAUAUUUCACCCACUGUCAAAACAUUAAUGUCGGGCAAUGUUCCUGUAGUUCUCUUCUCAAAACAUUCUUGAUCAUUGUGUGCCAAUAACAGUUACUCAAUAAACUUGUACAGCAAAUGUGAA